RNAcentral lists this ribosomal RNA (253 nucleotides) under uncultured bacterium. RNAcentral describes it as "partial 16S ribosomal RNA". It matches the Rfam family "Bacterial small subunit ribosomal RNA", at positions 524 to 776 of the family's 1533-position model. The record is from RNAcentral.
UACGUAGGGGGCUAGCGUUGUCCGGAAUCAUUGGGCGUAAAGCGCGCGUAGGCGGCCCUGUAAGUCCGUUGUGAAAGUCAAAGGCUCAACCUUUGAAAGCCGAUGGAUACUGCAGGGCUAGAGUUCGGAAGAGGCGAGUGGAAUUCCUGGUGUAGCGGUGGAAUGCGCAGAUAUCAGGAGGAGCACCAAUAGCGAAGGCAGCUCGCUGGGACGAUACUGACGCUAAGGCGCGAAAGCGUGGGGAGCGAACAGG